RNAcentral lists this long non-coding RNA (481 nucleotides) under Rosa chinensis. Its description in RNAcentral is "sRNA RchiOBHm_Chr2g0116181". Lineage: Eukaryota; Viridiplantae; Streptophyta; Magnoliopsida; Rosales; Rosaceae. The record is from RNAcentral.
UCUUCAGAUGUGAUUUCCUUUGUUUUCCAGACCUUAGGUAACUUUAUCUACUCUUUCUUUAGACCCUUUGACCAUUGUCUACCAAAUUCUCUUCUCAGAUGAUUUUUGGGCUAGGAGAGCCAACCAUGUUUAUGGUCAAGUGGAAAUUGAUGAAGUGCGUAAUGAGCUCGCAAGUUAUGUGUUGAAAAACAUCCUCAAGCUGUAAUCUAUGCAGUUGCUCAUGCCCUAGAAGCUGUGAAGUGAAAUAGGCUAGAAAUGUGUUUUUGUGCUCCAAAGUGACAAUUUAAAGUGCAUUUCUUCACUUAUUUUGCUAGUGGAGUAGUAUAGAUGUGCUCCAUAUUUUGGUGUUGGCAUGGAGUAGUAUAGUACUCCUUUUUGGCAAUAUUGUCUAAUACAUUUCAGUACAAUUAUGUGGAUUAUAACAAUAUUAGAUAUAUAUUGGUAAGUACUGUUCAUAUGGUAAUUUUUGAUUUCAUUUUCU